UGAAUGGCACUAUCUGUUGCAGUAUUUUAGGACUACAAAAUUCCAGAGCAUACAAAAUUAUGGGAUUCGAGCCCAACAAAGGACCAGACAUUUGUCAGGCUCUAAGCCUUAUGCUCAGCGCAGCUAUGAGAAGAGACCCAGAAACUGGAGAUGAGCCCAACAAU
Molecule: long non-coding RNA, 164 nt
Organism: Panicum virgatum (switchgrass)
Lineage: Eukaryota; Viridiplantae; Streptophyta; Magnoliopsida; Poales; Poaceae
Exons: 3
Source: RefSeq, a predicted model, not a curated record